RNAcentral lists this transfer RNA (73 nucleotides) under Candidatus Daviesbacteria bacterium RIFCSPHIGHO2_01_FULL_40_24. RNAcentral's name for it is "tRNA-Val". It matches the Rfam family "tRNA". From Rfam's summary of the family: Transfer RNA (tRNA) molecules are approximately 80 nucleotides in length. Their secondary structure includes four short double-helical elements and three loops (D, anti-codon, and T loops). RNAcentral also lists the same sequence under 4 other names. Lineage: Bacteria; Candidatus Daviesiibacteriota. The record is from RNAcentral.
GGGCAGUUAGCUCAGUUGGUAGAGCGCGUUCUUGACGUGAACGAUGUCGGGGGUUCAAAUCCCUCACUGCCCA